Molecule: ribosomal RNA, 501 nt
Filed under: uncultured bacterium
Lineage: Bacteria
Description: partial 16S rRNA
Source: RNAcentral
GCACGGAGUUAGCCGGGGCUUCUUCUCUCGGUACCGUCACUCCUCCGGAUUGUUCACCCGGAGGCCAUUCGUCUCGAUCGAAAGGAGUUUACGACCCGAAGGUCUUCGUCCUCCACGCGGCGUUGCGUCGUCAGGCUUGCGCCCAUUGCGAACAAUUCCCCACUGCUGCCUCCCGUAGGAGUCUGGGCCGUGUCUCAGUCCCAGUGUGGCCGUCCGCCCUCUCAGGCCGGCUACUGAUCGUCGCCUUGGUGAGCCGUUACCCCACCAACUAGCUAAUCAGGCGCGGGCCCCUCUUCGAGUGCCAGGUCUUGCGAUCCCCGGCUUUGAUCUCCGCCUAUUCAAAGGCAGGAUGUCAUGCGGUAUUAGCGUCCCUUUCGGGACGUUAUCCCCCGCUCGAAGGCAGGUCACCCACGUGUUACUCACCCGUUUGCCACUCUACUUAUCCCUUGCGGGACUUUCGCGUUCGACUUGCAUGUGUUAGGCACGCCGCCAGCGUUGAUU